GGAGGUACAGCUCAGGGGUAAAGCACAUGCUUGUCAUGCACAAGGUCCUGGGUUCAAUCUCCAGUGCCUACA
Molecule: transfer RNA, 72 nt
Filed under: Camelus bactrianus (Bactrian camel)
Lineage: Eukaryota; Metazoa; Chordata; Mammalia; Artiodactyla; Camelidae
Also listed under: 2 other names
Rfam family: tRNA
About the family: Transfer RNA (tRNA) molecules are approximately 80 nucleotides in length. Their secondary structure includes four short double-helical elements and three loops (D, anti-codon, and T loops).
Source: Rfam by way of RNAcentral